AUGAACGCUGGCGGCGUGCCUAAUACAUGCAAGUCGAGCGAACAGACGAGGAGCUUGCUCCUCUGACGUUAGCGGCGGACGGGUGAGUAACACGUGGAUAACCUACCUAUAAGACUGGGAUAACUUCGGGAAACCGGAGCUAAUACCGGAUAAUAUAUUGAACCACAUGGUUCAAUAGUGAAAGACGGUUUUGCUGUCACUUAUAGAUGGAUCCGCGCCGCAUUAGCUAGUUGGUAAGGUAACGGCUUACCAAGGCAACGAUGCGUAGCCGACCUGAGAGGGUGAUCGACCACACUGGAACUGAGACACGGUCCAGACUCCUACGGGAGGCAGCAGUAGGGAAUCUUCCGCAAUGGGCGAAAGCCUGACGGAGCAACGCCGCGUGAGUGAUGAAGGUCUUCGGAUCGUAAAACUCUGUUAUUAGGGAAGAACAAAUGUGUAAGUAACUAUGCACGUCUUGACGGUACCUAAUCAGAAAGCCACGGCUAACUACGUG
RNAcentral lists this ribosomal RNA (496 nucleotides) under uncultured bacterium. RNAcentral describes it as "partial 16S ribosomal RNA". It matches the Rfam family "Bacterial small subunit ribosomal RNA", at positions 29 to 507 of the family's 1533-position model. The record is from RNAcentral.